Molecule: ribosomal RNA, 253 nt
Filed under: uncultured bacterium
Lineage: Bacteria
Description: partial 16S ribosomal RNA
Rfam family: Bacterial small subunit ribosomal RNA
Source: RNAcentral
UACGUAGGGGGCAAGCGUUGUCCGGAUUUAUUGGGCGUAAAGAGCGUGUAGGCGGCUUUACAGGUCCGUUGUGAAAACUCGAGGCUCAACCUCGAGACGCCGGUGGAAACCGUAAGGCUAGAGUCCGGAAGAGGAGAGUGGAAUUCCUGGUGUAGCGGUGAAAUGCGCAGAUAUCAGGAGGAACACCAGUGGCGAAGGCGGCUCACUGGCUCGGUACUGACGCUGAGGUGCGAAAGCGUGGGGAGCAAACAGG